GACGCCCCUGCGGGGGCCGGCGCAGGUCAAAGUGUAGUAUCUGUUGUGAUACGCUUAAUAUCUGAUACGGGUUGUAUUUGCAGCAAAACACAUUAUACUUAUUGUUGCAUGUUGGCGGAGUGCUUAAAAACUGCUUCGCCUCCGCCUCGGAUCGGCCUAGUAUUGUACUAUCUGCGGGGUCGGCUCUAGUGUG
Molecule: non-coding RNA, 193 nt
Organism: Dermacentor andersoni
Lineage: Eukaryota; Metazoa; Arthropoda; Arachnida; Ixodida; Ixodidae
Source: RefSeq, a predicted model, not a curated record